This 375-nucleotide ribosomal RNA is filed under the name uncultured organism. RNAcentral describes it as "partial 16S ribosomal RNA". It matches the Rfam family "Bacterial small subunit ribosomal RNA", at positions 527 to 896 of the family's 1533-position model. The record is from RNAcentral.
GUAGGUGGCAAGCGUUGUCCGGAAUUAUUGGGCGUAAAGCGCGCGCAGGCGGUCCUUUAAGUCUGAUGUGAAAGCCCACGGCUCAACCGUGGAGGGUCAUUGGAAACUGGGGGACUUGAGUACAGAAGAGGAAAGCGGAAUUCCACGUGUAGCGGUGAAAUGCGUAGAGAUGUGGAGGAACACCAGUGGCGAAGGCGGCUUUCUGGUCUGUAACUGACGCUGAGGCGCGAAAGCGUGGGGAGCAAACAGGGAUUAGAUACCCUGGUAGUCCACGCCGUAAACGAUGAGUGCUAAGUGUUAGGGGGUUUCCCGCCCCCUUAGUGCUGCAGCUAACGCAUUAAGCACUCCGCCUGGGGAGUACGGCCCGCAAGGCUG